Molecule: transfer RNA, 90 nt
Filed under: Negativicutes bacterium
Lineage: Bacteria; Bacillati; Bacillota; Negativicutes
Description: tRNA-Ser
Rfam family: tRNA
About the family: Transfer RNA (tRNA) molecules are approximately 80 nucleotides in length.
Source: RNAcentral
GGAGAGGUGUCCGAGUGGUCGAAGGAGCAUGACUGGAAAUCAUGUGUACGGGAAACUGUACCGAGGGUUCGAAUCCCUCUCUCUCCGCCA